ACCAGACUCCUACGGGAGGCAGCAGUGGGGGAUACUGCACAAUGGGGGGAACCCUGAUGCAGCGACGCCGCGUGGGUGAAGAAGCGCCUCGGCGCGUAAAGCCCUGUCAGCAGGGAAGAAAAUGACGGUACCUGAAGAAGAAGCCCCGGCUAACUACGUGCCAGCAGCCGCGGUAAUACGUAGGGGGCAAGCGUUAUCCGGAUUUACUGGGUGUAAAGGGGGCGCAGACGGCGAUGCAAGCCAGGAGUGAAAGCCCGGGGCCCAACCCCGGGACUGCUCUUGGAACUGCGUGGCUGGAGUGCAGGAGGGGCAGGCGGAAUUCCUGGUGUAGCGGUGAAAUGCGUAGAUAUCAGGAGGAACACCGGCGGCGAAGGCGGCCUGCUGGACCGUGACUGACGGUGAGGCCCGAAAGCGUGGGGAGCAAACAGGAUUAGAUACCCCCGUA
Molecule: ribosomal RNA, 445 nt
Filed under: uncultured bacterium
Lineage: Bacteria
Description: partial 16S ribosomal RNA
Rfam family: Bacterial small subunit ribosomal RNA
Source: RNAcentral